Molecule: ribosomal RNA, 251 nt
Filed under: uncultured prokaryote
Description: partial 16S rRNA
Rfam family: Bacterial small subunit ribosomal RNA
Source: RNAcentral
ACGUAGGUGGCGAGCGUUAUCCGGAUUUAUUGGGCGUAAAGAGCGCGCAGGCGGUUGAUUAAGUCUGAUGUGAAAGCCCACGGCUUAACCGUGGAGGGUCAUUUGAAACUGGUCAACUUGAGUGUAGAUAAGGGAAGUGGAAUUCGAUGUGUAGCGGUGAAAUGCGUAGAGAUAUGGAGGAACACCAGUGGCGAAGGCAGCUUCCUGGGCUAUAACUGACACUGAUGCGCGAAAGCGUGGGGAGCAAACAG